GAUGAACGCUGGCGGAAUGCUUAACACAUGCAAGUCGACUUUAUUAGUUUUCGGACUGAUAGAGUGGCGGACGGGUGAGAAACGCGUGAAGAACCUACCCUGCAGAGGGGGAUAACUUUCCGAAAGGAGAGCUAAUACCGCAUAACUUUAUGAUAAGGCAUCUUAAUGUAAAGAAAGUGAGAACACUGCAGGAGGGCUUCGCGUCCUAUUAGCUAGUUGGUGAGGUAACGGCUCACCAAGGCGACGAUAGGUAGCCGGCCUGAGAGGGUGAACGGCCACAAGGGAACUGAGACACGGUCCUUACUCCUACGGGAGGCAGCAGUGGGGAAUAUUGGACAAUGGGCUAAAGCCUGAUCCAGCAAUUCCGCGUGAACGAUGAAGGUCUUCGGAUUGUAAAGUUCUUUCGGCAGGGAAGAAAAAAUGACGGUACCUGCAUAAGAAGCACCGGCUAAUACGUG
This 458-nucleotide ribosomal RNA is filed under the name uncultured bacterium. RNAcentral describes it as "bacterial SSU rRNA". It matches the Rfam family "Bacterial small subunit ribosomal RNA", at positions 28 to 507 of the family's 1533-position model. The record is from RNAcentral.